This is a long non-coding RNA of Bos indicus x Bos taurus (hybrid cattle), 923 nucleotides long. Lineage: Eukaryota; Metazoa; Chordata; Mammalia; Artiodactyla; Bovidae. The record is from Ensembl.
UUCUUUAUCAUUAACAUUAUCAUCAUGUUAAUCACCUAUAAUUAUUUCUUGAACAUAGAAAAUUUGUUUGUUUUUUGUUUGUUUGUUUUGCUUAUAUUGGGAGGAGGAUGUUAUCAGAUUAAACAGUGAUUUUCCCUUGAGAAGUUUUCAGGAUAAUUGGAGCAGACUAUUUUUACUUAAAACCAAAGAUAGAUUGGCUACAUAUAACCUGCUCAAGUAGUGAGCAUUUUAGGUGAGAAGAAAUGUACUUUUCCUUUUAGGUUUGAGAGUAAAGCUGAAUCCCUAUUUUCUUGCUAUUAUUGGCGUUACAAUGAAUCACCACAGUACUUAUGUGUUCCAAAGAGUUCUUAGUUGAUUUCUCACUGCAACUUCUAUUUUACAGAUGAGAAAACUGAAGUUCAUUAGCAUCUAGGCAAGUCCUGACGAAGGUCGUGCCACUGGUAAACAGUGGAAUCAGGAUUUGAAUUCAGGUCUGGACUCUUUGUAUUCUGUCUGUGUGUCGGUUACAACCUUACUGUGGAGACUCAGCCGUGAAAGCAGAAGGAGGUGGAAGGUUAGCGGAAGCUGGAGAGGAAAAAAGGUGAAGAUCUUUUGAAGUUUUCCUGCUCAGCCAGGAAAACAUGGCUGCAGUUAUCAGGCUUACUUGGUUGGGGUCAGAGCAUACAGAGUGUGGACCUGAGAGAUGCUGGGAGGUGCUGACCCCAUGGUGCACUGAGGAGAAGCAAAGACAUCUUUGUAGGAGUCAGUGUUGAGCUGGGUACCCCUACAUUUCAUAUAUUGAAGACCUAACCCCUAGGAUUUCAGCAUGUGACCUUAUUUGGAGGUAUGUCUUUACAGAGGUAAUCAAGUUAGAGUAAAAGCAUGAGGGUGGGUCCAGAUCCAGAAGGACUGGUGUCUAUGUGAGAAGGGGGCAUUUAGAUAUG